RNAcentral lists this ribosomal RNA (276 nucleotides) under uncultured bacterium. Its description in RNAcentral is "partial 16S ribosomal RNA". It matches the Rfam family "Bacterial small subunit ribosomal RNA", at positions 493 to 776 of the family's 1533-position model. The record is from RNAcentral.
UCAGGUGUGCCAGCCGCCGCGGUAAUACGGAGGAUGCGAGCGUUAUCCGGAUUUAUGGGUUUAAAGGGUGCGUAGGCGGUCCGUUAAGUCAGCGGUAAAAUUGCGGGGCUCAACCCCGUCGAGCCGUUGAAACUGUCAGACUUGAGUUGGCGAGAAGUACGCGGAAUGCGCGGUGUAGCGGUGAAAUGCAUAGAUAUCGCGCAGAACUCCGAUUGCGAAGGCAGCGUACCGGCGCCACACUGACGCUGAGGCACGAAAGCGUGGGGAUCGAACAGG